GAUGAAGAACGCAGCGAAAUGCGAUAAGUAAUGUGAAUUGCAGAAUUCAGUGAAUCAUCGAAUCUUUGAACGCAUCUUGCGCUCCUUGGUAUUCCGAGGAGCAUGCCUGUUUGAGUGUCAUUAAAUUCUCAACUACACUGAUUUUGAAUUGGUGUGGCUUGGAUUUGGGGGGAAAAUUGUUGUGGGCUUUUUGUAUAGUCUGCUCCCCUGAAAUUGAUUAGCGGUACCUUUGUGGAACUGUCUACAGGUGUGAUAAUUAUCUACAUCUUAGACAUCUGCUGGAAUGCUGCUUUCUAAACCUUACUUGUAUUGACAAUCUUGACCUCAAAUCAGGUAGGACUACCCGCUGAACUUAAGCAUAUCAAUAAGCGGAGGA
This 376-nucleotide unclassified non-coding RNA is filed under the name soil metagenome. RNAcentral's name for it is "partial contains 5.8S ribosomal RNA, internal transcribed spacer 2, and large subunit ribosomal RNA". The stretch from base 1 to 120 matches the Rfam family "5.8S ribosomal RNA", at positions 35 to 154 of the family's 154-position model. The record is from RNAcentral.